CACCUUUUUCAUCAUGCCAAAAUAUUUUUUGUGUGAAUAUUGUUAUGCCAAUCUAAGAUUUGUUGCCCACUUUUCUAAGUCCCUAAGAUAUGGAUUGAGCUUGGUUCAAAAUAGAAUUCAAAUCUGAUUUGAAUUCAUGAUAAGAUCAAAUCUUGUUUGAACCUAAACCAAAAUAAUCAAACUCUAUGCUUAUCUUGAUGGGAUGCCACUUUAAGCAGGGGUGAUUUUUGUGCACCUCAUAAGAUUAUUUUUGGUGUGAGAGAACCUCAGAGAGGGGG
RNAcentral lists this long non-coding RNA (278 nucleotides) under Elaeis guineensis (African oil palm). RNAcentral describes it as "long non-coding RNA (EGUI_LNC068788)". The record is from RNAcentral. Lineage: Eukaryota; Viridiplantae; Streptophyta; Magnoliopsida; Arecales; Arecaceae.